ACUGAAAUGCUUAACACAGAAGAAAUCAACAGGGGUCCCAAAAUGCAACUUUAAAAACAGCUUAAAAGGCUUCUUUAUACAUUUGGAGAAGAUGCACAGUAUGAUGUUUUCUUUGUCGGUACAUUCAAGUUAAAUUUUGAGAUGUUGGUAAGUUUUUCUGUAGCCACAAAGAACAGACUUUUUUGUUUAAAGGAUGAAGGUAUUAAAAAAUAUGCAUGAUAGAAUGCAUGUUGAAUGUCAUCUGAAGAUUUUAUUUGUACUUUCAGUUACAGCAGACUGCUCUGUGAAGAAAUCAAAAUAUUUAGACAGUGGUCUAAAUGCUGUGAGACUUGGGGUAGAAUCACUGGAACUAGAAACUCAUCCUUUUUCUUUGGAAAUUUCUUUUGGAAAUCUUUGGUGUCUUCAUAAAUCUUGUAAGAGAAACAGGAAAGAGGUGCAUCCAAAUGUGAAUUGACUUUCAAAACAUGCCCUUUGGAGUUACUAUGAUGAAGUUGUAAUAGAGUCCCUGACAGAGAAUCUACUUUUGACCGUAGAAGAGACUUUUUACUCAAGGUUAAAUUCUACACAUAAAUACUUACGAAUACUGUGCAGAACCAUCUAAGAGCAUAUUCAAUAUAUUUAUUCUGAAAAUAGAUUUUUUUUUGUCAACCAGGAGUGAGACCAGUCCUAAUCUAUGGUACUGAAGUAAUGUAUCUGACAGUGAACUUUCAGUUUUAAUGCCUCAAGAGACUUCUUUAUUAAACUUUGUAAUAAAUCAACCAACCUUGUAUAAGGAUCAGAUUAGGGAUUUGCAUACUGGUAAAAGGUUGAGCAAAUCUCUAUGUUGUUAGUACUUUUAAUUUGCAUCUUUAAUGAGCUGUAGCAUCACCAGAAUUGCUGGUUUGGCUUCCCUGUACUUGACUUCAUAGGACCAGGGUUUUACUUUUGAUCUUCCUGCAGUCUUGUUUGUAUGUGAAGAGAAUAUUGAAGCAUGUGACUUGAAGGGCCAAAAAUCGUAUAUAUUUCUUGCAUAUCCCACACAAAUUUGCACACAGGAAGGAUAUUUUCAUAGAGCAGUCUAAUGCAAGAAGAAAGUUGUUUUUAAUCAGAACAUUAGAAUUUCAUUAAUUUUAACUAUGUAAACCUAAGGAGUAAAAGCAAGUUUUCAUGUUGACAUACUCAAAUUCUAGGCUAGCAGGAUAAUGUUUCCCUUGCAACUAGAAAUGCUGAAAGUGUUAUGCAUUAUUUUUUAUAACUCAAACAUUGGUUUGCAACUCAAUAAUGAUUAUGCUCAAAAGGACCAUUUCUGUGUACUUUCACUGUAUCAAUGGAAGUAUCUUCUUUGGAAAGCUGGUGCUUUCCAGUGAGAAUCCUGAUGAAGAUCAAUGUAAAUACUUAAUGGGAAAAUGCCUUUAAACUUGGUUCUUCUAAAAUCUCCUUAGAUAAGAGACGAUAAUGUGUUUUUGGAGAUGUGACUAUUAGCUGUGGAGCUUUGAUGAGGAAUAGAAAACAAGAAUUAUUAACUGAUGUGAAGAAAAAGAAGGUGCUGUUAAAAAUUACUGGUUCAGGUUUACUGGGACAUUUUUAGUUCCUUAAUUUGAACUUAGAACUUCUAUCCCUACAGACAAAUUUUUCACUCUUGGCAAUGUAGAAGUGCUGAUAAAUUGUUGAUGUGAUUACAGAUCCUUCAGAGUUGUAUAGUAGAAACAGUAUCUGGUUGACAUUCAGUCAUUGAAGUGACUAUAACCCACUGAUGCUAUAAAACCAUGAUAAGAACAGACAUAGUCCUGUAGUAUACCUAUCUUCAGUAGACAAAUGAGAAUAUUGGUGUGAGUAGAAACUGUAUUUUAGAUCCCAAUGUGAGGCAAUACACAUAACUUCUGAAAAUAUUGUAAAAUUUAUUCAGGAGAUUGACUUUGAUGCCCUGGAAGGUAGUUUUCUGGCCUUUUUCUUAUGUUUUUAUAUGCAACAAUAUAUUACAAUAGCUGUAGCUGCACUGUAUGCCUGAAUCAGGACCCAAGGGUUGAAUUUCAAAUGCUUUUAUAUUCAUACGUAAUAUGUUAGCUGACCAAAAGCCAUUCCUGAAAAACUCACCACUAACGUUAGUACUCAAAAAUAAAUUGCAUAAAUAAAAUAUAGGCCACUUGAUUUUAGCAGCAUACUGAUAGACAUUAAAAUUAAAAACUCUUCAGCUCUGACCUUUAGUCUAAUUAUUCAAAUAUGUCUCCACAGUUGAAGGAGGUAUGAAGAAAUAGAAAUAGAAAAUUUUACAUAUCUUGCAAUUUUAAAUAUCUUGCAAAUUUAAUUUUUAUCUCAUUUUUAUCUCACUCUCUUGAGAGUGGUUGCUGGACUUCCAGGGAAUUAAAUAUUAUGAAGAUAAAUACUCACAUAGAAUAAACAUUUAAGACGUAUAUGUGCUUGCCUUGUUUCUGAGUUAUUUACAAAAUUUUUCUAACAGAUUGUUAUUGCCUUUUACGCUUUUAACAUUAAUGCUCUAUGUGAAUAGCUAGAGGAAAAAAAUCACAUUUAGGGAAAAAUAAAUAAACUUUCACAAAUCUUUCACAGAGGUUCAUUAUUCAUAUUUUUUUUUACUAAAAUUCUGAGCAUCUGUCUCCAGUUAUUUCCAUGUUUUACACAGGUUUAAAUAAAAAAAAAAAAA
This is a long non-coding RNA of Gallus gallus (chicken), 2638 nucleotides long. The record is from Ensembl. NCBI's taxonomy places the organism in Eukaryota, Metazoa, Chordata, Aves, Galliformes, Phasianidae.